UACGUAGGUCCCGAGCGUUGUCCGGAUUUAUUGGGCGUAAAGCGAGCGCAGGUGGUUUAUUAAGUCUGGUGUAAAAGGCAGUGGCUCAACCAUUGUAUGCAUUGGAAACUGGUAGACUUGAGUGCAGGAGAGGAGAGUGGAAUUCCAUGUGUAGCGGUGAAAUGCGUAGAUAUACGGAGGAACACCAGUGGCGAGGGCGGAUUGCUGGACAGUAACUGACGCUGAGGCGCGAAAGCGUGGGGAGCAAACAGG
RNAcentral lists this ribosomal RNA (252 nucleotides) under uncultured bacterium. RNAcentral's name for it is "partial 16S ribosomal RNA". It matches the Rfam family "Bacterial small subunit ribosomal RNA", at positions 524 to 776 of the family's 1533-position model. The record is from RNAcentral.